CCCCCUUCCUUAGCCCCUUAUUCUGAACCUGCCCCUUCUUUCCCAACACAACCCAUCAACGCAAACCCUUAGUCCACUCCUAAAAACACGGCCUCCAUCAACGACAGAUCUAGAUCUGGCCAAAAUUAAUAUAUGAAUGUGGGAACUUGAAGUUCAUGGACUUGUCUGGAAAUUUCUUUGCUAGCCAAAUACCAAAACAUGUAUUUACCAAUCUAGGCUAACUUGAAUAUCUCAAUCUCUCCAUUAACCAUUUCCAAGGACCACUGCCAUAAAACUUUCCCAAUCUUAAACGCCUCCAUUUAACAGUGAAC
RNAcentral lists this long non-coding RNA (311 nucleotides) under Prunus dulcis (almond). RNAcentral's name for it is "sRNA ncRNA". Lineage: Eukaryota; Viridiplantae; Streptophyta; Magnoliopsida; Rosales; Rosaceae. The record is from RNAcentral.